Salvia miltiorrhiza (redroot sage) is the source of this 1068-nucleotide long non-coding RNA. RefSeq lists it as uncharacterized. The transcript has 5 exons. Lineage: Eukaryota; Viridiplantae; Streptophyta; Magnoliopsida; Lamiales; Lamiaceae. The record is from RefSeq and is a predicted model, not a curated record.
UCCGUCUUGUUCAUUUCUGCCAGAUAACAAAGAUUAAUCAUAUCCCGGAUUUCACUCUCUUUCCAUAAAAAACGGUGAUUCGAAUUGAUUACAAUACAUUAUAUUUACGGAUUCGUGGUUCAGAAUCUGAGUUUUCAUUGAACAUGAACGAUAAAGAGAAAACGGUGGAGCCGAUUCGACGGAGAUUGAUUGUUCGGCGAACUAUGCUGAUGACCUGGAUGAAACGCUGGUUUUUGGGUUUCUCGGGUCCUGCAGUAAGUGUUUCUCUUCUUGAUGAAAGAUUGAAUUUUUUUUCUUUUUUCUUUUAUCAAUUGAUAGAUUUUUUUGCAUUUUUGAAUUGUUAAUUCGAAAGAUGUGAAGGUGAUAGAAUGUGAUGAUAAGGAAGAAGAAGAAGAGGAAUGGUUGCCUCCUCCAUCAAAGGAUUGGUGCCUAUAUAUUACGAUCACACAUAUUUUUAUUUUCAUAUGCUAUCGCAGAUUGAACUUUCUAAUUCGUGAAACUACAAACACUUAUGCAAAAUCGAAGCCCUUGCUGGACUUCCAGAAACCCAAGUUUUGGCAUGGUUUUAGCUGUGAAUUGAAUAUGGAUGCUAGAAAUGCAAGGGGAAAUGUGAAUGAUCGCAAAAAGCAAAAAAAAUGUCAGGCAAACAUGGAGAGCAGUGUCUUCUCAGCCCAAUUUCUCUGAGGAAACUGUCAGUUGCUCAUCAUCCGAACCAGCAAAAAAAUGAACUAGGUUGUUCAUUUAGAUGUUAUCAUUGUAUUGGGUAAUGAAGUGGGUACAGACCUGGUUUGGGAAUGCAGCUUUAAUUGACAGUCAUGGCUAAUGAACUGGGUACAGACUUUGUUGUGUCGAUUUUUUCAUUCUUUGUAGUUGUUUUAUGUUGAUUGGUUCGAUAUUACAACGACGCCAUCCAAAAGGGAUUUUCCCAUCUUGUUUUAUGCAACUACAAGUUUUUGGUUUGUAAUAGUUUAUCAAGAUGCUUUUGUUUUAGCAAGUUUAUUUGGUCUGCUUGUUGCAGUUUCAAACACAUUGUUUUAAUGAAAUUGUGUUCGAGUUUUAUAUGGAUAA